AUACGUAGGUGGCGAGCGUUGUCCGGAAUUAUUGGGCGUAAAGGGCGCGUAGGCGGGAUAGUCAGUCUGUUGUAAAAGUUCGGGGCUCAACCCCGUGAAGCAAUGGAAACUGCUAUUCUUGAGUGCAGGAGAGGAAAGUGGAAUUCCCAGUGUAGCGGUGAAAUGCGUAGAUAUUCGGAGGAACACCAGUGGCGAAGGCGGCUUACUGGUCCAUUACUGACGCUGAGGUGCGAAAGCGUGGGGAGC
Molecule: ribosomal RNA, 246 nt
Filed under: uncultured bacterium
Lineage: Bacteria
Description: partial 16S ribosomal RNA
Rfam family: Bacterial small subunit ribosomal RNA
Source: RNAcentral